Molecule: ribosomal RNA, 477 nt
Filed under: uncultured organism
Description: partial 16S ribosomal RNA
Rfam family: Bacterial small subunit ribosomal RNA
Source: RNAcentral
UACACUCCUGCGGGAGGCAGCAGUGGGGAAUAUUGCACAAUGGGCGCAAGCCUGAUGCAGCCAUGCCGCGUGUAUGAAGAAGGCCUUCGGGUUGUAAAGUACUUUCAGCGGGGAGGAAGGCGAUAAGGUUAAUAACCUUGUCGAUUGACGUUACCCGCAGAAGAAGCACCGGCUAACUCCGUGCCAGCAGCCGCGGUAAUACGGAGGGUGCAAGCGUUAAUCGGAAUUACUGGGCGUAAAGCGCACGCAGGCGGUCUGUCAAGUCGGAUGUGAAAUCCCCGGGCUCAACCUGGGAACUGCAUUCGAAACUGGCAGGCUAGAGUCUUGUAGAGGGGGGUAGAAUUCCAGGUGUAGCGGUGAAAUGCGUAGAGAUCUGGAGGAAUACCGGUGGCGAAGGCGGCCCCCUGGACAAAGACUGACGCUCAGGUGCGAAAGCGUGGGGAGCAAACAGGAUUAGAAACCCCGGUAGUCCCAUGA